GGAAUAUUGGACAAUGGGCGCAAGCCUGAUCCAGCCAUGCCGCGUGUGUGAAGAAGGCCUUCGGGUUGUAAAGCACUUUAAGUUGGGAGGAAGGCUUCUUGGUUAAUACCCAAGAGGAUUGACGUUACCAACAGAAUAAGCACCGGCUAAUUCCGUGCCAGCAGCCGCGGUAAUACGGAAGGUGCCAGCGUUAAUCGGAAUUACUGGGCGUAAAGCUCACGUAGGUGGGUACUUAAGUCGUAUGUGAAAGCCCUGGGCUUAACCUGGGAAUUGCAUCCGAUACUGGGUGGCUAGAGUACGGUAGAGGGAGGUGGAAUUCCAGGUGUAGCGGUGAAAUGCGUAGAGAUCUGGAGGAACACCGGUGGCGAAGGCGGCCUCCUGGACUGAUACUGACACUGAGGUGCGAAAGCGUGGGGAGCAAAC
Molecule: ribosomal RNA, 423 nt
Filed under: uncultured bacterium
Lineage: Bacteria
Description: bacterial SSU rRNA
Rfam family: Bacterial small subunit ribosomal RNA
Source: RNAcentral